UUUGAAUAUCCUAAGAGGAAAUGAGAUCAUAAAACUUCAGAACAGUAUUUCUCCAGCAGUGCAUUGGAAAUAGAAGCUGCCCUUUAGCUGAAACACUGUGAUCAAAGCUCACAAGUUAAGAAAUUAGCUUUUAUACAUAAAGAAAGAUAAAACCUUUCCCUCGAAGAAUUUCAUAUCUGGAAAUCUAUACGAAAAGAUUCUCACACCACAAGUUCUUUUUUUCAGGUCUAACAUUCAUUUGCUCUCUACUAUAAGCUUGAUUACUGUAUAAAUUGAUAUCUGAAGAAUUUAGGAAACAAUGGAAGAAAAAGCAGCAAGUCAACAGAGU
This 328-nucleotide long non-coding RNA is filed under the name Manacus vitellinus (golden-collared manakin). Its description in RNAcentral is "lncRNA (ENSMVIG00005007031.1)". Lineage: Eukaryota; Metazoa; Chordata; Aves; Passeriformes; Pipridae. The record is from RNAcentral.